CUUAGUGGCGGACGGGUGAGUAACGCGUGGGGAACCCGCCUUGCACCGGGGGAUAACACUUAGAAAUAGGUGCUAAUACCGCAUAAGCGCACAGAGCCGCAUGGCUCAGUGUGAAAAACUCCGGUGGUGCAAGAUGGACCCGCGUCUGAUUAGCUGGUUGGCGGGGUAACGGCCCACCAAGGCGACGAUCAGUAGCCGGCCUGAGAGGGUGAACGGCCACAUUGGGACUGAGACGCGGCCCAAACUCCUACGGGAGGCAGCAG
RNAcentral lists this ribosomal RNA (263 nucleotides) under uncultured bacterium. Its description in RNAcentral is "partial 16S ribosomal RNA". It matches the Rfam family "Bacterial small subunit ribosomal RNA", at positions 91 to 354 of the family's 1533-position model. The record is from RNAcentral.